GACGAACGCUGGCGGCGUGCCUAAUACAUGCGAGUUGAGCGCUGAAGGUUGGUACUUGUACCAACUGGAUGAGCAGCGAACGGGUGAGUAACGCGUGGGGAAUCUGCCUUUGAGCGGGGGACAACAUUUGGAAACGAAUGCUAAUACCGCAUAAAAACUUUAAACACAAGUUUUAAGUUUGAAAGAUGCAAUUGCAUCACUCAAAGAUGAUCCCGCGUUGUAUUAGCUAGUUGGUGAGGUAAAGGCUCACCAAGGCGAUGAUACAUAGCCGACCUGAGAGGGUGAUCGGCCACCUUGGGACUGAGACACGGCCCAAACUCCUACGGGAGGCAGCAGUAGGGAAUCUUCGGCAAUGGACGAAAGUCUGACCGAGCAACGCCGCGUGAGUGAAGAAGGUUUUCGGAUCGUAAAACUCUGUUGGUAGAGAAGAACGUUGGUGAGAGUGGAAAGCUCAUCAAGUGACGGUAACUACCCAGAAAGGGACGGCUAACUACGUG
This 497-nucleotide ribosomal RNA is filed under the name uncultured bacterium. RNAcentral's name for it is "partial 16S ribosomal RNA". It matches the Rfam family "Bacterial small subunit ribosomal RNA", at positions 28 to 507 of the family's 1533-position model. The record is from RNAcentral.